CCCGCACAAGCGGAGGAACAUGUGGUUUAAUUCGAUGAUACGCGAGGAACCUUACCUGGGCUAGAACGCCGGGGGAGCUCGUCCGAAAGGGCGGGGCCAGCGAUGGCCGCCGGCGAGGUGCUGCAUGGUUGUCGUCAGCUCGUGCCGUGAGGUGUCGGGUUAAGUCCCAUAACGAGCGCAACCCUACCGCCAGUUGCCAACGGGUAAAGCCGGGGACUCAGGCGGGACUGCCGGCGUAAGCCGAGAGGAAGGCGGGGAUGACGUCAAAUCAGCACGGCCCUUACGUCCAGGGCUACACACGUGUUACAAUGGCCGGUACAGAGGGAGGCGACCCCGCGAGGGGGAGCGGAUCCCGAAAGCCGGUCGUAGUUCGGAUCGGGGUCUGGAACCCGACCCCGUGAAGCCGGAUUCGCUAGUAAUCGCGCAUCAGCCAUGGCGCGGUGAAUACGUUCCCGGGCCUU
This 461-nucleotide ribosomal RNA is filed under the name uncultured Rikenellaceae bacterium. RNAcentral describes it as "bacterial SSU rRNA". It matches the Rfam family "Bacterial small subunit ribosomal RNA", at positions 920 to 1382 of the family's 1533-position model. Lineage: Bacteria; Pseudomonadati; Bacteroidota; Bacteroidia; Bacteroidales; Rikenellaceae. The record is from RNAcentral.